This 253-nucleotide ribosomal RNA is filed under the name uncultured bacterium. Its description in RNAcentral is "partial 16S ribosomal RNA". It matches the Rfam family "Bacterial small subunit ribosomal RNA", at positions 524 to 776 of the family's 1533-position model. The record is from RNAcentral.
UUCAGAGGUCCCGAGCGUUGUUCGGAUUCACUGGGCGUAAAGGGUGCGUAGGUGGUGAGGUAAGUCGGAUGUGAAAGCUCCAAGCUCAACUUGGAAAUGGCAUUGGAAACUACCUUGCUAGAGGGUUUGAGGGGGGACUGGAAUACUUGGUGUAGCAGUGAAAUGCGUAGAUAUCAAGUGGAGCACCAGUGGCGAAGGCGAGUCUCUGGACAUUUCCUGACGCUGAGGCACGAAAGCCAGGGGAGCAAACGGG